RNA transcript from Caretta caretta (loggerhead turtle), 2853 nucleotides. It is a transcript of the gene named testis specific serine kinase 3, with no coding region annotated. The record is from RefSeq and is a predicted model, not a curated record. NCBI's taxonomy places the organism in Eukaryota, Metazoa, Chordata, Testudines, Cheloniidae.
CGGGGCGGCGCGGGGCCUGCCGGGAAAUACAGCGAAGCGGCGGCAUUCGAGGCGGGCAGCCGGUGCGACUACAUCUCCCGGCGUGCCUCGCGCCAGGGGGCGCUAGUAUGUCUCCCGGCGUGCCUCGCGCCACGUUAUAGGUGGAGCACAGGAAGGGGUGCCAGGCAUCUGGUUUUCAACUGGAACACCUGGUCGAAAAGGGACGUUGGCAGUGCUGUUAAGUCAGUGGGGCUAAGGCAGGCUUCUUGCUGCGUGCUGUCCCUGCCCUGAGCGCUGGCUCUGCAGCUCCCAGUUGCCGGGAAUCCUGGCCAAUGGGAGCUGCAGGGGUGGUGUGAGCAGUGUGCACAGCCACCUGCCUGUGCCUUGGGGCCAGACAUGCUGGCCACUUCCUUGAGCAGCAUGGAGCUAGGGCAGACAGGCAGCCUGCCUUAGUCUCGCUGCACCACUGAUUGGGAGCCACCUGAGGUAUCCAUCCAUUCCUCAGCUGACUGCCAAAAACACUUUCCAGCUUCAGUUCUGCUUGCAAGCCAUCCCCAACCAAGAUUCUAAAGUUUUCAGCAGCCGUCUCACCUGAAGUGAAGAGAAGAGGAAGUUGCUGGUGAUGGUACAGACCCUGUACAGAAUAAAAUUCUUUCAGUGGCAGCACCUUUCCAGUUUUGUUCCUCUAACCUUCAAAGGGAGAAGGGUGUGGGAUGAGGAGGUUGGGGGGAGGACAUAAAGGAGACAAUCCAGCUUCAGUUUUGCAAUCUCCUCUUGCAUGGGAGGAAGCUCUCCUCUUCCUUUCCAUGGGCAGCCUUAAAUUUUUUUGAUGGCUUCCCUGUUGAUGAGGCACAGCUGAUGCCUGCACCCUUCCACUGCCUAUCAGUCCCUCUCUCCAGCUCUGACUGCUUGGCCACUCCCAAUGAAGGGCUUUGUCAUGGCUCUGCCAAGGAAAAGUCACAAACAACCCACAUGUACCUCCCACUCAUAGGAUGGCUGGGGGCACUUCCCCCUCCCAACCCUUGGAAGAAGAAAUCAGCAUUAAGGUGAUCCUUCCUCCAGCUCUAUUAGACAUGGAAGGAGAAGAGCUGGGGGCCCAGGUGCCACCUAGUCACUCCGGUUUUUGCAUCCUCCUUUGCUAAGAGAGGAGCAUGGUCUCUAUGCAGCGAUAACAAUGUAGAGUUCCCCUGGCCAGACAUCCUUAAUCAAUGACAGACUGGUUGUCUCAGAGGACGAGCUUACGGUUCUGGGGCAGCAUGACAUCCCCAGCCCCACCUUGGUGGCAUCGUCUGGCUGUACUGUACGCCAACCAGGCCAUGCAGAACUGGUCAGCUACACAUCCCAGCUUGCAAGCUGGCAUGUGCACCAGCAAACUUUACCAAUACACUGCUCAAACACAAGUCAACAUCCCCUCCCAUGAAGCUCUGGCUGGUCGUCUGUGAGCUAGGGGCUGAUUGGCCUCUCUUCUCUUACUCACCUCUUUCUUCAGAUUGUGGAGACCAAGCAGCCUGUUCUUAUCACAAUGCAAACACACAGAGAGGUCCCCAGUUAAAUAACCUGCUGAUCAAUGGACAAAGGUGGGAUUGGCAGUGAAGGAAUUAGAGGAACAGGAGCAAAGCCUCAGCCAGAAAUACUGAGAAACUAUGAUUGUUCCUUGAGAAGAAUGGUUCGGUAGUUCCAUAUGUACAGUCUACUUUUGUCACUGCUGUUUAUUAUCUUCACUGGAAGUUUCUUAGGUCAAGAACAGUGGGUUGUCCAAGGUCCUGAUUCCCCCCUGCCUUUCACCUGCAAUAUGUCACUUAACUGAUUCCAAAUCAGAAUGCUAGUUACACCCAUUUUGCACAGCUGUAAGAGUCUAUCUCACGCGCAAGGCAGGAGAGAAGCAGACCCCCUUGUGUAUGGAAGAUCAAACAUUAAAAUUCCGAACACUGGCUAACCCUGGAUUAAAGCAAAGACACGUCCCAGGUACACAUUUGCUUCAACCAUUUUCCAAAACCAGCUUGUUCAGGGGAACGAAGAACAAAAAUAAAGAUUUCACAUUUGGCAGGAAGGGAUAGGUUCCAUGCCUUAGUUCCUAAGUGUCAAAGGGCAGCCGGCACAGGGCAUGGCUCUACAGAAGGUAGCAGAGCGGAAAUGCCACAGAUAUACUGUGACGUUGCACUCCAUAUGAUUUUAUAAAAAUAUGCUAAUAAGUGUGAAUAUAACGUAACUGGAAUAUGCUUCAUGCAAAAGGUCUCUUGUAAGGUAUCAUUACAAAGCUUAUAAUCUACUGAGCACGGUCAUCCAAUUUGUACGAAUGUAUCAUUCUUGUAUCUGAAACUAGGAAUACAAAAUAUAACUCUGAGGUCCUAUUAUAGUUACGCAAAUUGUGGGCCAUUAAUGGCGGUUUAGAAUCUUGAUGGCUCCCAUCAACUAGGACAAUUGACUGUAGAUGGCUCUGUUUACUUGCAAGCCUUCCUCUGAUGAGAUGUGAGUGAAGGCUUGGGGUCUCACAGGACAUGUGACCAUGUCACCUGGUACUGAAGUCCAUCUUAAACCUGGUGCUUUUCCAUUUAGAAGGGGUGGGGACUCAAAGAGACAAAAGAUUCCCGCCUUGUGCCAAAGGUAUAUAAGGGGAUGGAGCAGAACAAAGGGGGCUGCAGGCAUGAGAAAUCCCCUAGCUACCAUCUGAGCUGGAACAAGGACUGUACCAGGGGAAAGGAUGAGGCCCAGACUAGAAAGGAGUCUAGCCUGUGAAAGAAGCUUAUUGGAACAUCUCUGAGGGUGAGAUUUCAUCUGUGAUCAGUUUCUUACUGUAUUAGUCUUAGACUUGUGUGUUUUUGUUUUAUUUUGCUUGGUAAUUUACUUUGUUCUGUCUGUUAUUACUUGGAAACA